AACGCCGAGUGCAGUCUUCUGUUUCCUCGGUCUGGUUCUGUGACCCACACUUGAGCUCCUCUGCAGGGCAACACCACAGACUGCAAUUAUGACCACAAAC
This is a long non-coding RNA of Stegastes partitus (bicolor damselfish), 100 nucleotides long. RefSeq lists it as uncharacterized. The record is from RefSeq and is a predicted model, not a curated record. NCBI's taxonomy places the organism in Eukaryota, Metazoa, Chordata, Actinopteri, Pomacentridae. The transcript is spliced from 3 exons.